CUAAAAGGAAGAGAUCAGAUUCACCCACAUCAUCACAUCUGUCACUGAAGAGUGAAGAAUCACUACUUCAACCAAUAUACUUCAGCAAUGAACCACAGAAAGACAUUGACAGAGCUGAACAGAAGAGAUCAGAUUCACCCACAUCAUCACAUCUGUCUCUGAAGAGUGAAGCAUCACUUCUUCAACCAAUAUACUUCAGUAAUGAACCACAGAGAGACAUAGACAGUGAGUUGGAAGCAUCACCUGAGCAGGUGGAGUCUGUACCUGCUGAAAGCUUGCUUCUGUGGCACCAAUGUAACGUCUGUGCUGAGAAAAGAAACUGUGGACACAGCAAAGGCUA
Non-coding RNA from Paramisgurnus dabryanus, 340 nucleotides. Lineage: Eukaryota; Metazoa; Chordata; Actinopteri; Cypriniformes; Cobitidae. The record is from RefSeq and is a predicted model, not a curated record.